GCGGAUGUGGCGGAAUGGUAGACGCUACAGACUUAAAAUCUGUUGUCCGUAAGGGCGUGCGGGUUCGAGUCCCGCCAUCCGCA
Molecule: transfer RNA, 83 nt
Filed under: Sphingorhabdus wooponensis
Lineage: Bacteria; Pseudomonadati; Pseudomonadota; Alphaproteobacteria; Sphingomonadales; Sphingorhabdaceae
Also listed under: 1 other name
Description: Sphingopyxis sp. enrichment culture clone 03SU3-P tRNA
Rfam family: tRNA
About the family: Transfer RNA (tRNA) molecules are approximately 80 nucleotides in length. Their secondary structure includes four short double-helical elements and three loops (D, anti-codon, and T loops). Further hydrogen bonds mediate the characteristic L-shaped molecular structure. tRNAs have two regions of fundamental functional importance: the anti-codon, which is responsible for specific mRNA codon recognition, and the 3' end, to which the tRNAs corresponding amino acid is attached (by aminoacyl-tRNA synthetases). tRNAs cope with the degeneracy of the genetic code in two manners: having more than one tRNA (with a specific anti-codon) for a particular amino acid; and 'wobble' base-pairing, i.e. permitting non-standard base-pairing at the 3rd anti-codon position.
Source: Rfam by way of RNAcentral